RNAcentral lists this unclassified non-coding RNA (145 nucleotides) under soil metagenome. Its description in RNAcentral is "partial internal transcribed spacer 1". The record is from RNAcentral.
UAAUAAGUGUUUUAUGGCACUUUUUAAAUCCAUAUCCACCUUGUGUGCAAUGUCAGUCGAUCUUCUUCAUGGAGAUUGACUAAACAUCAACCUUUAUUUUUUAACUCUUUGUCUGAAAAAUAUUAUGAAUAAACAAUUCAAAAUA